RNAcentral lists this long non-coding RNA (1163 nucleotides) under Amphibalanus amphitrite. RNAcentral's name for it is "uncharacterized LOC122376218, transcript variant X3". The record is from RNAcentral. Lineage: Eukaryota; Metazoa; Arthropoda; Thecostraca; Balanomorpha; Balanidae.
GCAUCAUAUUAUUGGAAUGGAGACAGAUUGAAGUGCAGCCAACACUGCAUGGUGCUUCUCGCAAGAGCUGACCCAUUGCUGUUUUUCAACUCUUCUGGAAAAGAUCCCGAAAGAAGAUAACUGCUUGUUUUCUUCACCGCCACCAGUCUACCUGCUCUCUGCACACUCGGCAGAGCGCGGCAGGGCACCCCACGGAGCUGCACUAGUCACAUCCGGGCCCCACGCCGGUCGACGGCCGAUGCGAUGGAGGCACUACUCCGAGCUGGACUGGUGGCCGGCUCGGAGCUGGUGGAUGUCGACCGCGGAGCGGCGAUCUACUCCUUCCACCGGGCCCGGCAGCAGGAGCUCCAGAUGUCCUUGUGCCACCCGUCCGGCCAGGCCUCCAUCCACCUUGUAGAGGCGGAGCGGGAGACGGUGAAGCUCACGGCUCCGUUGGAACAUGGCCGCUGGGAGGCCUGCGGCGCGGACGACGGAUGCGGCAGUUGGUCAAGACACGGCAGCCUACUCGAGGUGCUUCUCGCCUGGAGGACGCAGGCGAAUCGCGUUAUCCGAGCUGUGCCUCGUCAUGGUGCGAUGAGCCUUAAUAGACUAAUGCAUAUUCUUCCUUUGGUUGUAAUUCAUUUGCUGCUGCCCGCUGGGCUAAGGAGUAACUCUGGGCGCCUACUUUGGGCAGACGCUGGUCCAGUGCCGCCUUUCGUUUGCCGCACUUAUCUUUAUUUAUUCUUUGUUACAAUUCCGUCUUUGGUCAUUUUUUUUUUUACCAUGGGGGGCACUUGAAAGUUUUGUUUUUAAAUCUGUGGACAUUGAACCUGGAAUCGGUUUUUUGUCGGAUUUCGGUUUUGUUUUUGCACUGUGGAAAUAUCUCGUUCAAUAUUUUUUUUAAGAUAGGGCGUGCUAAAACUUUUAGUCUCAUUACUCCUCUGUGCAUCUAAAUUCUAAAGUAAUAUAAUGUGCAUCUCAAGUGUUUGGUGCUGUACUGUUAUUAUUUAUGGUUAAUCCAGUGCUGUACUGUUAUUAUUUAUGGUUAAUCCAGUGCUGAUUUAUGGUUAAUCCAGUUUUUAUUCGAUUGAAUCGUUGUGUGUAAUGUGCAUGACAUCCGCGUACCGCCUGUAGCAGUGUUAUAUAUUUUCAUUUAUGCUGGAAAAUAAUAACUUUCUUGUUCA